Molecule: long non-coding RNA, 1808 nt
Filed under: Anas platyrhynchos platyrhynchos (common mallard)
Lineage: Eukaryota; Metazoa; Chordata; Aves; Anseriformes; Anatidae
Description: lncRNA (ENSAPLG00000021073.1)
Source: RNAcentral
AGCCCACGCUCAGAGCCCCAUCUCCCCGGCUUCACAGGGGUGGGGAGGGGGUGCCCUCUCAGGAGGUGCUCUCCUCCCCAGCUGCUCCCGUACUGGGUGCAGGAUGAGCAUUAAAACCUCCAGAUUCCCAGUAAGGUUGCUGCAUGCUGGAGCCUGGUGUGGGGCUCAGUGACAGCCAGCGGCAUUGCUCACUGCAAGUCAGCGACAGUGCAGGCAUCCCGGGCCCAGUCCCAGAACCCCAGCAGAGCACUGGGGCUGCCCAGGAGCCCUGCAUGGGGCCCAGGAUGCACGCAGAGAGCGGCAGUUCUUACGCACCUCUUGCCAAGCCGGCACAUCCCGCGGUCGGCCCCUGCGCUCAGCCCACCCGCUCCCACCCCAGCUGCGCCUCCAGGCAGAGGCAGCUCUCCAGCUCUCCUUUCCCUCCCGCUGCCACCUCCGGUGCCUGGAAGCCGCUGCUCGCUCUGCAAACUCCCACUGGAAGCAGCUGCUGGAGUGUGACCAGGCACUGCUGUGCCACGGGGGCACGGGUGAGCAGUUGCCAGGGCACUCCUCCAGGAGACCUCCCUGGGAAGGCAUCUUGCCAAUGCUUCAUUUUGAUUAGAUAAAUUUUGCACAGACGGCAGAGCAGAGCAGACCUUGUCUGAGUUGCAGGGGCCGGCAGGACAGAGCCUGGGGUGCCCGUUGCCCCACAGGAAGGUGAUGCCAAGCACUAAGGAGGAGAAAUGCCAGGUUAUCAAUUGUAAUUAAAGGACACUGUCACUGCAAGGGCUGGGCUGGCUCCCAGCAGCUCCCUGUCAUUCCCCUGUGCUGACUCCACAAAACCUGAACAUCCUCCAUGCUAUUUAAAAAUCCCAUCUUUAAUAACUCAGAGACAUCUGAACCCCACAGGACAGGCACCAAGGGUACAUCAGACAUGACAGGGACAAGUCCAAGGGGAAGCUGGUCCCUGGAGAGCCAAGGCAGAUGUCUCGGGGGCUGCAGAAAGCCCCAGCCCCGGGGCGGAGGGGGCAGCCCCAGGCUUGGUGCCCAGGGCUGGGUUGGUGUGUGGGGGGCUGAGCCGGCAGCACCACUCAGUCCCGUGGGGUUGGGGGCAGGGGGGGGCAGCCCCACUCCUCCUGCCGGCACCCCGGAGCGGCAGGGUGUGCAAUCAGCGCUAAUCAGAUAGCAAAAUAAUUACUGGGCCUCCUGCAGGGAGGUGAUAGAUGCAGCGUGCCUGGCGGGUGGUUGCGUGGUGGGAUGCCCUGGCUGCCCCGGCCGGCUCCAGGCUGGCUCCAGUUUGCCCAUGCAGCCCUGUGCCCCAGGCCAGCAGCCUUUCCCUUUAGUGCCUGGCUGCUUCUCCAAAACUGAUGUCGUUUAUUUAACCAGAAACAUUUAUAAAGAAUGUUAAAAACUCACAACGACAUCUUGAUUGCUUCAGUCAAAAGUUACUUUUGAAAGGCCAUUUUUCUAAGACUUGCUCUUCCCAAGAGUUUCCUUCUAAGCGCAGUGUUUCCCACGGAGCGUGGGUGCAUGGUGCCAGUGGUGCACGUCCUCGCUGUGCCCCUGCUGUCACCGCAGCUCACGGAGUGGCAGCAGGCAGCGUGGCCGGGUGCCAGGGGCACGGCGCUGCAUGGGGAGCUGGCAGGCGAGCCCUGCACACGGCAUGGCAGGACAUUCACAGCCCGACCUGAGCACGGGCUCGUUCCUUCACACGCCUUUCCACCUGACAGGCUGGAGCCUAUGUAAAUUCCCACCGUAAUUACUCUGAGAGCUAUCAAACUAUCUAAUUUAAUUUCUUUGUGAAAAUAAAUAGCUAAAGUGGCCCUAGG